This 73-nucleotide transfer RNA is filed under the name Euzebyales bacterium. RNAcentral describes it as "tRNA-Ala". It matches the Rfam family "tRNA". Rfam says of the family: Transfer RNA (tRNA) molecules are approximately 80 nucleotides in length. The record is from RNAcentral. RNAcentral also lists the same sequence under 1 other name. Lineage: Bacteria; Bacillati; Actinomycetota; Nitriliruptoria; Euzebyales.
GGGGCUAUAGCUCAGUUGGUAGAGCGCUGCCAUGGCAUGGCAGAGGCCAGGGGUUCGAAUCCCCUUAGCUCCA